This 521-nucleotide ribosomal RNA is filed under the name uncultured bacterium. RNAcentral describes it as "bacterial SSU rRNA". It matches the Rfam family "Bacterial small subunit ribosomal RNA", at positions 8 to 526 of the family's 1533-position model. The record is from RNAcentral.
AGAGUUUGAUCCUGGCUCAGAUUGAACGCUGGCGGCAUGCCUUACACAUGCAAGUCGAACGGUAACGCGGGGCAACCUGGCGACGAGUGGCGAACGGGUGAGUAAUACAUCGGAACGUACCCAGUAGUGUGGGAUAGCCCGGCGAAAGCCGGAUUAAUACCGCAUACGACCUACGGGUGAAAGGGGGGGAUCGCAAGACCUCUCGCUAUCGGAGCGGCCGAUGUCAGAUUAGGUAGUUGGUGGGGUAAAAGCCUACCAAGCCGACGAUCUGUAGCUGGUCUGAGAGGACGACCAGCCACACUGGGACUGAGACACGGCCCAGACUCCUACGGGAGGCAGCAGUGGGGAAUUUUGGACAAUGGGCGCAAGCCUGAUCCAGCCAUGCCGCGUGCGGGAAGAAGGCCUUCGGGUUGUAAACCGCUUUUGUCAGGGAAGAAAAGUUUCAGGCGAAUAUCCUGGAAUGAUGACGGUACCUGAAGAAUAAGCACCGGCUAACUACGUGCCAGCCGCCGCGGUAAUUC